This 379-nucleotide ribosomal RNA is filed under the name uncultured bacterium. Its description in RNAcentral is "bacterial SSU rRNA". It matches the Rfam family "Bacterial small subunit ribosomal RNA", at positions 790 to 1168 of the family's 1533-position model. The record is from RNAcentral.
GUAGUCCAUGCCGUAAACGAUGUCUACUAGCCGUUGGGGCCUUUGAGGCUUUAGUGGCGCAGCUAACGCGAUAAGUAGACCGCCUGGGGAGUACGGUCGCAAGACUAAAACUCAAAUGAAUUGACGGGGGCCCGCACAAGCGGUGGAGCAUGUGGUUUAAUUCGAUGCAACGCGAAGAACCUUACCUGGUCUUGACAUAGUAAGAACUUUCCAGAGAUGGAUUGGUGCCUUCGGGAACUUACAUACAGGUGCUGCAUGGCUGUCGUCAGCUCGUGUCGUGAGAUGUUGGGUUAAGUCCCGCAACGAGCGCAACCCUUUUCCUUAUUUGCCAGCGGGUUAAGCCGGGAACUUUAAGGAUACUGCCAGUGACAAACUGGAG